AGGGUUUGAUCAUGGCUCAGAACGAACGCUGGCGGCAGGCCUAACACAUGCAAGUCGAGCGCACCUUCGGGUGAGCGGCGGACGGGUGAGUAACGCGUGGGAAUAUGCCCUUUGGUACGGAAUAGUCCUGGGAAACUGGGGGUAAUACCGUAUGCGCCCUUCGGGGGAAAGAUUUAUCGCCAAAGGAUUAGCCCGCGUUGGAUUAGGUAGUCGGUGGGGUAAUGGCCUACCAAGCCGACGAUCCAUAGCUGGUUUGAGAGGAUGAUCAGCCGCACUGGGACUGAGACACGGCCCAGACUCCUACGGGAGGCAGCAGUGGGGAAUCUUAGACAAUGGGGGCAACCCUGAUCUAGCCAUGCCGCGUGAGUGAUGAAGGCCCUAGGGUUGUAAAGCUCUUUCAGCUGGGAAGAUAAUGACAGUAGCGGAAGAAGAAGCUCCGGCUAAAUUCGUGCCAGCCGCCGCGGUAAUAC
This 470-nucleotide ribosomal RNA is filed under the name uncultured bacterium. RNAcentral describes it as "bacterial SSU rRNA". It matches the Rfam family "Bacterial small subunit ribosomal RNA", at positions 8 to 526 of the family's 1533-position model. The record is from RNAcentral.